AGGGCUAUAGCUCAGUGGUAGAGCGCCUCGUUUACACCGAGAAUGUCUACGGUUCGAAUCCGUAUAGCCCUA
Molecule: transfer RNA, 72 nt
Filed under: Dicranopteris linearis
Lineage: Eukaryota; Viridiplantae; Streptophyta; Polypodiopsida; Gleicheniales; Gleicheniaceae
Also listed under: 22 other names
Description: tRNA-Val
Rfam family: tRNA
About the family: Transfer RNA (tRNA) molecules are approximately 80 nucleotides in length.
Source: RNAcentral